This is a non-coding RNA of Bacillus thermozeamaize, 85 nucleotides long. The record is from Rfam. Lineage: Bacteria; Bacillati; Bacillota; Bacilli; Caryophanales; Bacillaceae.
UAACCGGUGUCGAAAGGCACCGCUGAACGUACAGAAGUCAGCAGAGGCCAUAGUACCUUCACAGGGACGCCUGGAAGGGAAGGGC